GGGGAUUUAGCUCAGUGGUAGAGCGCUUGCCUAGGAAGCGCAAGGCCCUGGGUUCGGUCCCCAGCCCCG
Non-coding RNA from Rattus norvegicus (Norway rat), 69 nucleotides. Lineage: Eukaryota; Metazoa; Chordata; Mammalia; Rodentia; Muridae. The record is from Rfam.